Long non-coding RNA from Pleuronectes platessa (European plaice), 536 nucleotides. RefSeq lists it as uncharacterized. Lineage: Eukaryota; Metazoa; Chordata; Actinopteri; Pleuronectiformes; Pleuronectidae. The record is from RefSeq and is a predicted model, not a curated record. The transcript has 2 exons.
AGUCACGUGACCAAACAGAGGAAGCAGGUAAAACAGGUCAAGAGAGAACUUCACAUAUACAAGCAGCACAUCAGUAAUCAGAUCUCUCCCUUAACCACAACCAUGUUUUGCAAACAUGGCUCUCUUACUUUCACUGUGAGAAAAGAGACGGCCAUGUUGGUUGAGAAUGUUGUGUGCGUGUGUGUUUUUGUCAUAACAGUGAGAGGACGGACCGACAGACGGGUGUAGAGAGAACGGCUGCUGUUUUAAAAAAAGUUUUAACUCGGAGCGAUGCCAAAGAACUGAAAUAAUCCAGAGAGACGCAGUUCUGCUGAGGGAAGCCUCUCGAUGAUGAGAGAGGACAGAGGAGCUGACAGGAGAGCUACAGAUCCACAUUCCUUACAACUGUGCUGAGCAGAAAAGUGUCUUACACAUCAAACCUUGAGGUGGACGAAGGUCAUCAGAAAAACAAUGUCGGGCUCAGAGCCUCACAGAUUUAUCAGUUACUGAUAUGAAAUCUUAUUUGGCAGAAUAAACAUUGAAGAUAAAAAAAUGCA